Molecule: long non-coding RNA, 1343 nt
Filed under: Hordeum vulgare
Lineage: Eukaryota; Viridiplantae; Streptophyta; Magnoliopsida; Poales; Poaceae
Description: long non-coding RNA (HVUL_LNC015548)
Source: RNAcentral
UCAGUGCCACAAAUUAUAUUAAAUUAACUCAUUAUUUUCAGAGAAGCAUAUGUACUGUACAUACAAAUCUUCAUAGGUAUCAAAGCCAGAACCUAGAAAACAUUAUGUUACGCAUAAGAAAAACAAAGAACAUAAAUACUAGAUUGGCCUAGAAACAAGAUUCAGAAACAAAGAUUACAAAUUCGAUGGAUUAAAUAUAAAGAGAGGAGUAGGAUAGAGAAAAUGUGGACAAAUCAUUAGGAACUAGGAAUAGUACCACACCUAGUCCUGAAAAAUAGUGACUCGCCUAACCGAGGCAUGGAGCUACUCGUGGUCGCUCAUCAACGGAGGUACCUAGUUGAAUAAAGCACAUGGCAACAACUUGUACAAUUAAAAAAUAUCAGGUCAUAAAACACAUAAAUGGUAAAUUGCGAACAAUGGCAUGUUGAAGUAUCUAUUUGAGUCUAUAAAAUUAGUUUCGUAUAUAAAUCACUCUAUAGAGGUUAAUUUUAGCACACAUCAUUCAAGUAAAAUUAAAUUUCAGUCAGUUAGAACAAUCUUCAUCUUAUCUCGUUAGACUGCAGAACAGAUGCCAUGUUGAUCUAUUGCUUAAAUCCAAAUAUAAUGUUUAACUGUACCAUUUUUCUCUUGCUGGAAUUACAGUUAUGCAAUUGUUCUUAACUAGCAGUCCCUUGUUCCUUUAUCUCACAAACUAUAUAAGAGUAGAUGCUUUACAUAAGUAUAGCUUGUUAAAAAUGAAGCUAAAGGUCUACACAACCAUCCUUUACUUGAGACGCGUCAGAUGCAUGCGAUGUCUCCCUAACUAAAUAUAAGUGUUCCAGGAAUUGAACUUCAUCAGAAACAAUUCAGUCUAUCAAGAAUGCACGAUAUCAAUAUCGAAUAGAUUCUAACAGUAUAAUAAUAUACCUUGUGGAAAUCCACACGUUGUUCAGAUCCCGCUGGUUAGUAGGUUUGGCCCCCCUUCUUUUGUCCAGGCACUGCUUUAAGUUAAGUGUUCACCAACAAUAUUAUACAGUUGAUGUCCUACAGUUGUCCAUAAAUAUAUGCAAGUAGGAUAUAGUACCAAGAAGCAAAAAUCAGUAUUUGUUAUAGUACUACGUGCAUAUUUAAAAGUCUGAUGCUACACACAGGGCUGAAGAUUCGCAAGCAUUGCCAAGAUUAUUGUUGCCUUACCAAAUUUGUUACACACAGGGCUGAAGAUGCAACACCAAGCUAUGGACAACAAUGGUAACAACGGCAUGUGACAGCGGCUAGGUUUGCAUUUUAAAAUCUUAACCUUUACAUUAUGUUGCUACCUAUGAAAAUCUACUCUAUAGGUGGAAGAACAUAUAUCAUAUAAAGUG